This 425-nucleotide ribosomal RNA is filed under the name uncultured bacterium. RNAcentral describes it as "partial 16S ribosomal RNA". It matches the Rfam family "Bacterial small subunit ribosomal RNA", at positions 354 to 796 of the family's 1533-position model. The record is from RNAcentral.
GUGGGGAAUCUUGCACAAUGGGCGAAAGCCUGAUGCAGCCAUGCCGCGUGAAUGAUGAAGGCCUUAGGGUUGUAAAAUUCUUUCGUCAGGGAUGAUAAUGACCGUACCUGAAGAAGAAGCCCCGGCUAACUUCGUGCCAGCAGCCGCGGUAAUACGAAGGGGGCUAGCGUUGUUCGGAAUUACUGGGCGUAAAGCGCACGUAGGCGGACUUUUAAGUCAGGUGUGAAAUCCCGGGGCUCAACCUCGGAACUGCAUUGGAAACUGGAAGUCUUGAGAUCAGGAGAGGUUAGCGGAAUACCGAGUGUAGAGGUGAAAUUCGUAGAUAUUCGGUGGAACACCAGUGGCGAAGGCGGCUAACUGGACUGAUACUGACGCUGAGGUGCGAAAGUGUGGGGAGCAAACAGGAUUAGAUACCCGAGUAGUCC